GACGAACGCUGGCGGCGUGCUUAACACAUGCAAGUCGAACGAUGAACGAGGGAGCUUGCUCCCUCCGGAUCAGUGGCGAACGGGUGAGUAACACGUGAUCAAUCUACCUCGAACUCUGGGAUAAGCGUUGGAAACGACGUCUAAUACCGGAUACUACGUGGCAGGGCAUCGUCCCCGCGUGGAAAGAACUUCGGUUCGGGAUGAGCUCGCGGCCUGUCAGCUUGUUGGUGAGGUAACGGCUCACCAAGGCGACGACCGGUAGCCGGCCUGCGAGGGUGACCGGCCACGCUAGGCCUGAGACACGGCCCAGACUCGUACGGGACGCAGCAGUGGGGAAUAUUGCACAAUGGGCGCAAGCCUGAUGUAGCCACGCCGCGUCGGGGAAGACGGCAUUCGGGUUGUAAACCACUUUUAGCAGAGAAGAAGCGAUAGUGACGGUACCUGCAGAAAAAGCACCGGCUAACUACGUG
Molecule: ribosomal RNA, 470 nt
Filed under: uncultured bacterium
Lineage: Bacteria
Description: partial 16S ribosomal RNA
Rfam family: Bacterial small subunit ribosomal RNA
Source: RNAcentral